UUUCCGUGGCCAAGCGUGCGGCCCGGCCCCCGAGCAAAUCUAGGGGCCAUGCGGGCGAGGCGUGAUGGUGGGCACCGUUUGGUGCGAUAUGAAGUGAUCCUGGCGGCCGAGAAAAGUUUCGUCGCGAGGUCCGCGGGCGCCCGUACCCGAAACCGACACUGGUGGUCUGGUAGAGUAUACCGAAGCGAUCGAGUGAAUCCUGGUCAAGGAACUCGGCAAAUUGCUCCCGUGCCUUCGGCAUAAGGGAGACCCCCGGCGGUGAGGGCCUUUGCGGCCGGAGCUGUUGGGGGUGGCACAAGCCAGGGGGUAGCGACUGUUUACCAAAAACACAGGUGCAUGCGAAGACGCAAGUCGCGGUAUAUGCACUGACGCCUGCCCGGUGCCGGAAGGUUAAGAGGAUCCGUCAGCUUCGGCGAAGCGGUGAAUUCAAGCCCCGGUAAACGGCGG
Molecule: ribosomal RNA, 447 nt
Filed under: Bifidobacterium magnum
Lineage: Bacteria; Bacillati; Actinomycetota; Actinomycetes; Bifidobacteriales; Bifidobacteriaceae
Description: bacterial LSU rRNA
Rfam family: Bacterial large subunit ribosomal RNA
Source: RNAcentral